ACUCCUGCGGGAGGCAGCAGUGGGGAAUUUUGGACAAUGGGCGAAAGCCUGAUCCAGCAAUGCCGCGUGUGUGAAGAAGGCCUUCGGGUUGUAAAGCACUUUUGUCCGGAAAGAAAUCCUUGGCUCUAAUACAGUCGGGGGAUGACGGUACCGGAAGAAUAAGCACCGGCUAACUACGUGCCAGCAGCCGCGGUAAUACGUAGGGUGCGAGCGUUAAUCGGAAUUACUGGGCGUAAAGCGUGCGCAGGCGGUUUGCUAAGACCGAUGUGAAAUCCCCGGGCUCAACCUGGGAACUGCAUUGGUGACUGGCAGGCUAGAGUAUGGCAGAGGGGGGUAGAAUUCCACGUGUAGCAGUGAAAUGCGUAGAGAUGUGGAGGAAUACCGAUGGCGAAGGCAGCCCCCUGGGCCAAUACUGACGCUCAUGCACGAAAGCGUGGGGAGCAAACAGGAUUAGAAACCCCAGUAGUCCCAUGAU
RNAcentral lists this ribosomal RNA (475 nucleotides) under uncultured organism. RNAcentral's name for it is "partial 16S ribosomal RNA". It matches the Rfam family "Bacterial small subunit ribosomal RNA", at positions 335 to 801 of the family's 1533-position model. The record is from RNAcentral.